CUGGACACUCCCUGCAGGAAGGAAAUGUGCUUGUCUGCUCAUGGCUGAUUCAGGCCCCAGCAUGGUGCUGGGAACACAGUGGCUGCCUAAUCAACCAACUGCCAUUCCCUCUUUCUUCCUUGUUAAUGGAACCCAAGUUUUGUUCUGGUUCAGAGAGCUGAUUCUGUGGCCUCACCCUGGGGACGCACCAUGAUCUGGCCAUACCAUCUCCCUUUGCCGUUUGCCAUAGUGCUGCAUUCAGGAGCUUCUGUCCAAGACACAAAGCCUGGCUGGCCUGUCAUUUCUUAAUAAUCCAGCAAGCUUCCAGGACUGACUUCAUCCUUCUGUCCAUUCAAUCAUCCAUCCAUCCACUUACCCAUCCAUCUAUCCAAAGGGGCACAAGGACACUUUUAGGGCUGAUGGAUGUGUUCACUGUCUUGACUGCUAUGAUGGUUUUAUGGGUGUGUACAUGUGUUAGAACUGGUAAAGUGGUAUACUUUAAAUGUGUGCAUGUGAGUGUACCUUAAUUAUAUUUCAAUAAAGUUGGAAAAAAGGAAGGUAAAUAACAGUAGGUCAAAACUGAUAACACCCCACAUUAUCCAUGGACAAGACAAUGGAUAAGCUGUGGAAUAUCCAUACAAUGGAAUACUGCUCAGCAGUAGAAAGGAACAAAUUGCUCAAAUAUACGACAACAUGGACCAUCUCACACAUGAAUGCUGAUCAAAAGACGUCAGAUGCGACAAUCAUUCUGUACAGUUCCAUUUAUAUACACUUCAAAAACAGAGAAAACAGGCCUGGCAUGGUGGCUUAUGCCUAUAAUUCUAGCACUUUGGGAGGCCAAGGCAGGUGGAUCACCCGAGGUCAGGAGUUCAAGGCCAGCCUGACCAACAUGGUGAAACUCUGUCUCUACUAAAAAUACAAAAAUUAGCUGGGUGUGGUGGCGCACGCCUGUAAUCCCAGCUACUCAGGAGGCUGAGGCAAGAGAAUUGCUUGAACCUGGGAGGCAGAGGUUGCAGUGAGCCGAGAUCACGCCAUUGCACUCCAGUCUGGGCAACAAGAGCAAAACUCCAGCUCAAAACAAACAAACAAACCAGAGAAAACAGAGCUAUGGUGUUUAUGAGUAUGUGCUCAGGUGGUAAAACUAUAAAGAAAAACAAGAACACAAUGAUCAUUAAGUCCUCCCUAGGGAAGGAGGAAGGGGUGGUCUCUGGGAGGGAAGAUGAUGGGGCUUCUGGGGAGCUGGCAGAUUUCUUGACCUGGGUGGUUACGUGGAUGUGUGCUUGAUAAUAAACCAUUGAGCUGUACGUUUUGUUUUGUGUGCAUUUCUGAAUAUAUUUUACAUUGUGUAAUUUAAAAUGGAGCAACAUAUAUAUACAUGCUUGUAUGGAAAGGUACAAAAAA
Molecule: long non-coding RNA, 1380 nt
Filed under: Homo sapiens (human)
Lineage: Eukaryota; Metazoa; Chordata; Mammalia; Primates; Hominidae
Description: HSALNT0303963
Source: RNAcentral